CGAAUGCUGACAUAAGUAACGAUAAAGCGGGUGAAAAGCCCGCUCGCCGGAAGACCAAGGGUUCCUGUCCAACGUUAAUCGGGGCAGGGUGAGUCGACCCCUAAGGCGAGGCCGAAAGGCGUAGUCGAUGGGAAACAGGUUAAUAUUCCUGUACUUGGUGUUACUGCGAAGGGGGGACGGAGAAGGCUAUGUUGGCCGGGCGACGGUUGUCCCGGUUUAAGCGUGUAGGCUGGUUUUCCAGGCAAAUCCGGAAAAUCAAGGCUGAGGCGUGAUGACGAGGCACUACGGUGCUGAAGCAACAAAUGCCCUGCUUCCAGGAAAAGCCUCUAAGCAUCAGGUAACAUCAAAUCGUACCCCAAACCGACACAGGUGGUCAGGUAGAGAAUACCAAGGCGCUUGAGAGAACUCGGGUGAAGGAACUAGGCAAAAUGGUGCCGUAACUUCGGGAGAAGGCACGCUGAUAUGUAGGUGAAGUCCCUCGCGGAUGGAGCUGAAAUCAGUCGAAGAUACCAGCUGGCUGCAACUGUUUAUUAAAAACACAGCACUGUGCAAACACGAAAGUGGACGUAUACGGUGUGACGCCUGCCCGGUGCCGGAAGGUUAAUUGAUGGGGUUAGCGCAAGCGAAGCUCUUGAUCGAAGCCCCGGUAAACGGCGGCCGUAACUAUAACGGUCCUAAGGUAGCGAAAUUCCUUGUCGGGUAAGUUCCGACCUGCACGAAUGGCGUAAUGAUGGCCAGGCUGUCUCCACCCGAGACUCAGUGAAAUUGAACUCGCUGUGAAGAUGCAGUGUACCCGCGGCAAGACGGAAAGACCCCGUGAACCUUUACUAUAGCUUGACACUGAACAUUGAGCCUUGAUGUGUAGGAUAGGUGGGAGGCUUUGAAGUGUGGACGCCAGUCUGCAUGGAGCCGACCUUGAAAUACCACCCUUUAAUGUUUGAUGUUCUAACGUGGACCCGUAAUCCGGGUUGCGGACAGUGUCUGGUGGGUAGUUUGACUGGGGCGGUCUCCUCCUAAAGAGUAACGGAGGAGCACGAAGGUUGGCUAAUCCUGGUCGGACAUCAGGAG
Molecule: ribosomal RNA, 1068 nt
Filed under: Escherichia coli
Lineage: Bacteria; Pseudomonadati; Pseudomonadota; Gammaproteobacteria; Enterobacterales; Enterobacteriaceae
Description: partial 23S ribosomal RNA
Rfam family: Bacterial large subunit ribosomal RNA
Source: RNAcentral